RNAcentral lists this ribosomal RNA (551 nucleotides) under urediniomycete sp. FO44664. RNAcentral describes it as "LSU rRNA". It matches the Rfam family "Eukaryotic large subunit ribosomal RNA", at positions 80 to 628 of the family's 3401-position model. Lineage: Eukaryota; Fungi; Basidiomycota; Pucciniomycetes. The record is from RNAcentral.
UUAGUAACGGCGAGUGAAGCGGGAAAAGCUCAAAUUUGUAAUCUAACCAUUUUGUGGUUUGAGUUGUAAUCUAUAGAAGUGUUUUCUGUGCCUAGCCCCAUAUGAGUCUGUUGGAAUAUAGCGUCAAGGAGGGUGAGAACCCCGUUCGUGAUGGGUGUCUGGUGUGCUCUGUGAUACACUUUCUAAGAGUCGAGUUGUUUGGGAAUGCAGCUCUAAUUGGGUGGUAAAUUCCAUCUAAAGCUAAAUAUUGACGAGAGACCGAUAGCGAACAAGUACCGUGAGGGAAAGAUGAAAAGCACUUUGGAAAGAGAGUUAACAGUACGUGAAAUUGCUAUAAGGGAAACGCUUGAAGUCAGACAUGCUCCGUAUGUUCAGCCGCAAGGUGUAUUCAUAUGGUUGCAGGCUAGAGUCUGUUCUUGGGGUCGGAUAAGGGUUUGAGGAAUGUGGCCAGCUCGCUGGUGUUAUAGCCUCUUGCUUGAUACGACUCUAGGGACAGAGGACCGCAGUGCGCCUUCAUGGCAUUGGCUUUGGCCUUUUCCGCACUAAGGAUC